CACUAGGGCCUAAAUAUCCUGAAGGCACCAGAUCCCUACUAAACUUGGAAGCUAAGCAGGGCCAUCUCUGGUUAGUUCUUGGAUGGGAGACCACCAAUAAAUAUCAGGUUUAAUGA
Molecule: ribosomal RNA, 116 nt
Organism: Anolis carolinensis (green anole)
Lineage: Eukaryota; Metazoa; Chordata; Lepidosauria; Squamata; Anolidae
Source: Rfam